CCUACGGGAGGCAGCAGUGAGGAAUAUUGGUCAAUGGACGAGAGUCUGAACCAGCCAAGUAGCGUGAAGGAUGACUGCCCUAUGGGUUGUAAACUUCUUUUAUAAAGGAAUAAAACGAGGCACGUGUGCGUUUUUGCAUGUACUUUAUGAAUAAGGAUCGGCUAACUCCGUGCCAGCAGCCGCGGUAAUACGGAGGAUCCGAGCGUUAUCCGGAUUUAUUGGGUUUAAAGGGAGCGUAGAUGGGUUGUUAAGUCAGUUGUGAAAGUUUGCGGCUCAACCGUAAAAUUGCAAUUGAUACUGGCAGUCUUGAGUACAGUUGAGGUAGGCGGAAUUCGUGGUGUAGCGGUGAAAUGCUUAGAUAUCACGAAGAACCCCGAUUGCGAAGACAGCUUACUAAACUGUCACUGACAUUGAUGCUCGAAAGUGUGGGUAUCAAACAGGAUUAGAUACCCGGGUAGUC
Molecule: ribosomal RNA, 460 nt
Filed under: uncultured bacterium
Lineage: Bacteria
Description: partial 16S ribosomal RNA
Rfam family: Bacterial small subunit ribosomal RNA
Source: RNAcentral